AUAGCGUAUAUUAAAGUUGUUGCAGUUAAAAAGCUCGUAGUUGAACCUUGGGUCUGGCUGGCCGGUCCGCCUCACCGCGUGUACUGGUCCGGCCGGACCUUUCCUUCUGGGGAAUCGCAUGCCCUUCACUGGGUGUGUCGAGGAUCCAGGACUUUUACUUUGAAAAAAUUAGAGUGUUCAAAGCAGGCCUAUGCUCGAAUACAUUAGCAUGGAAUAAUAGAAUAGGACGUGUGGUUCUAUUUUGUUGGUUUCUAGGACCACCGUAAUGAUUAAUAGGGAUAGUCGGGGGCAUCAGUAUUCAAUUGUCAGAGGUGAAAUUCUUGGAUUAAUUGAAGACUAACUACUG
This 346-nucleotide ribosomal RNA is filed under the name uncultured eukaryote. Its description in RNAcentral is "SSU rRNA". It matches the Rfam family "Eukaryotic small subunit ribosomal RNA", at positions 594 to 945 of the family's 1831-position model. The record is from RNAcentral.